RNAcentral lists this ribosomal RNA (235 nucleotides) under uncultured Actinomycetales bacterium. Its description in RNAcentral is "partial 16S ribosomal RNA". It matches the Rfam family "Bacterial small subunit ribosomal RNA", at positions 96 to 334 of the family's 1533-position model. Lineage: Bacteria; Bacillati; Actinomycetota; Actinomycetes; Actinomycetales. The record is from RNAcentral.
UGGCGAACGGGUGAGUAACACGUGGGUGAUCUGCCCUGCACUCUGGGAUAAGCCUGGGAAACUGGGUCUAAUACCGGAUAGGACCAUGCUUUAGUGUGUGUGGUGGAAAGUUUUUUCGGUGUAGGAUGAGCCCACGGCCUAUCAGCUUGUUGGUGGGGUAAUGGCCUACCAAGGCGGCGACGGGUAGCCGGACUGAGAGGUUGGUCGGCCACAUUGGGACUGAGAUACGGCCCAG